This 320-nucleotide ribosomal RNA is filed under the name uncultured Prevotella sp. RNAcentral's name for it is "partial 16S ribosomal RNA". Lineage: Bacteria; Pseudomonadati; Bacteroidota; Bacteroidia; Bacteroidales; Prevotellaceae. The record is from RNAcentral.
GGAGUUUGGGCCGUGUCUCAGUCCCAAUGUGGCCGUUCUACCUCUCAGUACGGCUACUGAUCGUCGCCUUGGUGGGCCGUUACCUCGCCAACUAGCUAAUCAGACGCAUCCCCAUCCUAUAGCGGUGAACCUUUGGUGUUCGUCAGAUGUCCUCAAAACACAACAUAGAGCAUUAAUUCGACUUUCGCCGGGCUAUUCUCUACUAUAGGGAAGGUUGGAUACGCGUUACUCACCCGUGCGCCGGUCGCCAUCUGGAAUAGCAAGCUAUCCCAAUGCUGCCCCUCGACUUGCAUGUGUUAAGCCUGUAGCUAGCGUUCAUC